GAGGAAAAGAAACUAACAAGGAUUCCGUCAGUAGCGGCGAGCGAACACGGAGGAGCCCAGCGCUGAAUCCCCCGGCGGUGACCCGUCGGCGGGAAAUGUAGCGUUAGGGAGCGUCCGACUCACCCGAGCGCGCGCGGCCAGCCCAAGUCUCCCUUGAACGGUGCCACCAUCCACAGAGGGUGCCAGGCCCGUACGGCGGACACUGACCGCGUUCGGGCGGACGUCUCCCAGGAGUCGGUCUGCUUUGGAACGCAGACCUAAGCGGGUGGUAAACUCCAUCUAAGGCUAAAUAUGACCACGAGACCGAUAGCGCACAAGUACCGUGAGGGAAAGGUGAAAAGAACUUUGAAGAGAGAGUUCAAGAGUACGUGAAACUGGAGAGGUGAAAACGCAAGUGGCUCGAUGUUCCGAACGGGGGCGUUCAGUCUCGCCCGUCCUCCCCCCGCUGCGCUCCAUGUCACAUGAGGAGAUCGUGCGGCGCGGUAACGGCGUGCCGUCCAGUCCUCGUGGCUGGCGGUCGCGUCGGCCGCGCCCCUCCGGCGUGCGGGUUUUUCUGGUGAGGUUACGGGCGUGGAUGCACUCGCUCCCGUAGUAGGAUGUCGCGACCCGUCUGGUGCCGGUCGUGAGGCCGACCGAGGUAGCCCGGUGUCCGUGUGACCUGAACCCCUAGGGAGAAACUCAGGCGGUGCGGCCCGGACUCGGACGUGUCCCCUCUCCGGCUGCCGGACGGUAUCGAAAAGGAGUCGGUCGGAAGCCUGCCCCGCUCUGUCGGCGUGACGUAUGACGUCUCUUGUCACAUGUCGGGGCGGCAAUACAAAUCCGAACCACCGACUGUCUGCGGCAUUGCCCGAUUCGGGUCCACUUGCGACCCGUCUUGAAACACGGACCAAGGAGCGUAACACAUGCGCGAGUCGAAGGGUGCUUCUAAACCCAUAGGCGCAGCGAAAGCGUAGGGGACGAUGGCUUAUCAAGGUCGUGCUCUCCGGUCGCGGUUUUAAACCCGCCUCCACGGAUCCGGCCAGCCCGCAGUCCCGGGGCACCUCAUGUGGGUCCUGGUCGUCGUCCCGUCGAUUCCCCGUUACGUCCCGUCUCAGCCCCGUCAAAAGGGUUCGGGGCGGGAGCCGUGCGGACCAGUAUCGUGCGGGAACCACGGCGGCCCCGACUCGAGGCGCACCUGUGAGCGUAUGUGUUGUUACCCGAAAGAUGGUGAACUAUGCCUGGCCAGGACGAAGCCAGGGGAAACCCUGGUGGAAGUCCGUAGCGAUUCUGACGUGCAAAUCGAUCGUCGGAGCUGGGUAUAGGGGCGAAAGACUAAUCGAACCAUCUAGUAGCUGGUUCCCUCCGAAGUUUCCCUCAGGAUAGCUGGCGCUCGGACGAUGUUGAAGAGACCUAAUGAGUCUCAUCCGGUAAAGCGAAUGAUUAGAGGCCUUGGGGCCGAAACGACCUCAACCUAUUCUCAAACUUUAAAUGGGUGAGAACCCCGGCUUGCUUGAUACCGGCUCGUCCGCUUGCCGUGACCCUCUCGGGGUGUCCACGGCUCGUCGGGCGGUCGGAAAACGAAUGUGAAGCCGCGGGACUAGAGAAACGUAGUGGAUCGUGAGUGCCAAGUGGGCCAAUUUUGGUAAGCAGAACUGGCGCUGUGGGAUGAACCAAACGCAGAGUUAAAGCGCCCGAAUCGACGCUCAUGGGAGACCAUGAAAGGUGUUGGUUGCUUAAGACAGCAGGACGGUGGCCAUGGAAGUCGGAAUCCGCUAAGGAGUGUGUAACAACUCACCUGCCGAAGCAACUAGCCCUUAAAAUGGAUGGCGCUGAAGCGUCGUGCUUAUACUCUGCCGCCGGUGGCAAAAGAGGCCAACAUACCCUCGCACACGGAAUAUCCAUAAUCUGGGCGACCAGUACGGACCGGCGAGGGGGUCAUGAGGCCCCGGUGAGUAGGAGGGUCGCUCGGGUGUGCACAGAAGGGUCUGGGCGUGAGCCUGCCUGGAGCCGCCCGAGGUGCAGAUCUUGGUGGUAGUAGCAAAUACUCCAGAGAGGGCCCUGGAGGGCUGAUGCGGAGAAGGGUUCCGUGUGAACAGCUGUUGCACACGGGUCAGUCGAUCCUAAGCCCUAGGAGAACUCCUAUGUGCGAUGUGUGGGUAUCAAAAUAACUCAUAAUUAUUUUAUAUCUAUCCCACCGCCGGGCGAAAGGGAAUCAGGUUCCUAUUCCUGAACCCAGGUGCGGUACCGUUUUUCCGGGCUUGUCUCGAAGCGUUUCGCGGCCGUUCACGGUGCCCUCAAAAGCCCGUCGUUCGGUACCGCGUGCGCCUAGGGCGAACUCGUCGGGGUAACCCGAACAGCCGCGGAGAAGCCGGCAGGAGCCCCCGGGAGAGUUGUCUUUUCUGUAUUACCGCGCAAGUUCCCUGGAAUUCCAUCGCGGAGAGAGAGGGAAUAGCGCGGGAAGAGCACCGCACUUGCGGCGGUGUCGGGGGUGGCCUCUCGGACCAUGAAAAUCCGCGUGAGGGUCACGGAGAACAACCGACCUGGCUCGUACCCAUAUCCGCAGCCGGUCUCAGGUGAGAGCCUCUAGUCG
Molecule: ribosomal RNA, 2569 nt
Filed under: Baenothrips sp. TH58
Lineage: Eukaryota; Metazoa; Arthropoda; Insecta; Thysanoptera; Phlaeothripidae
Description: eukaryotic LSU rRNA
Rfam family: Eukaryotic large subunit ribosomal RNA
Source: RNAcentral